Molecule: transfer RNA, 74 nt
Filed under: Loxodonta africana (African savanna elephant)
Lineage: Eukaryota; Metazoa; Chordata; Mammalia; Proboscidea; Elephantidae
Rfam family: tRNA
About the family: Transfer RNA (tRNA) molecules are approximately 80 nucleotides in length.
Source: Rfam by way of RNAcentral
GCCCAGGUGGUGAAAACAGUUAACACGCUUGGCUGCUAACUAAAAAGUUGUAGGUUUAAAUCCACCCUGAGGUG